RNAcentral lists this ribosomal RNA (508 nucleotides) under uncultured bacterium. RNAcentral's name for it is "partial 16S ribosomal RNA". It matches the Rfam family "Bacterial small subunit ribosomal RNA", at positions 28 to 523 of the family's 1533-position model. The record is from RNAcentral.
GAUGAACGCUAGCUACAGGCUUAACACAUGCAAGUCGAGGGGAAACGAUAGAGAAAGCUUGCUUUUUCUAGGCGUCGACCGGCGCACGGGUGAGUAACGCGUAUCCAACCUGCCCACCACUUGGGGAUAACCUUGCGAAAGUAAGACUAAUACCCAAUGACGUCCAUAGAAGACAUCUGAAAUGGAUUAAAGAUUUAUCGGUGAUGGAUGGGGAUGCGUCUGAUUAGCUUGUUAGCGGGGUAACGGCCCACCAAGGCGACGAUCAGUAGGGGUUCUGAGAGGAAGGUCCCCCACAUUGGAACUGAGACACGGUCCAAACUCCUACGGGAGGCAGCAGUGAGGAAUAUUGGUCAAUGGGCGAGAGCCUGAACCAGCCAAGUAGCGUGCAGGAUGGCGGCCCUAUGGGUUGUAAACUGCUUUUAUAAGGGAAUAAAGUGAGUCUCGUGAGACUUUCUGCAUGUACCUUAUGAAUAAGGACCGGCUAAUUCCGUGCCAGCCGCCGCGGUAA